CUGGCAAACUUUUUUAUAGAGUCCCAAGCUGUGUGAGAAUUUCUAUUUACUCAUUUUUGUACAAUGAGAAUUUUACCCAAACCUUAGAUUCAGUUCGUCCUCAAUAUGGUUUGGCUGUGUCCCCACUCAAAUCUCAUCUUUAAUUGUAGUUCCCAUAAUCCCCAUGUGUCAUGGGAGGGACCUAGUGGGAGGUAAUUGAAUCAUGGCAAUGGUUACCCUCAUGCUGUUCUCAUGAUAGUGGGUUCUCACAAGAUCUGAUGGUUUUAUAAGGGGCUUUUUCCCCUUUUGCUCAGCACUUCUCCUUGCUGUCACCAUGUGAGGAUGUGUUUGCUUCCCCUUCCACCAUGAUUAUAAGUUUCCUGAGGCCUCCCCAGCCAUGCUGAACUGUGAGUCAAUUAAACCUCUUUCCUUUAUAAAUUACCCAGUUUCGGGUAUGUCUUUAUUAGCAGUGUGAGAACGGCAAAUUGGUACCACAGAGAAUGGGGCACUGCUGUAAAGAUACCCAAAGAUGUGAAAGCAACUUUGGAACUGGGUAACAGGCAGAGACUGGAACUAAUGGAAGGGCUCAGAAGACAGGAAUAUGUGGGUUCAUAAGCAGAAGGGACUUGCCUUGUCUCAGAUGAGACUUUGGACUUGGACUUUUGAGUUAAUGCUGGAAUGAGUUAAGACUUUGGGGGACUGUUAGGAAGACAUGAUUGUGUUUUGAAAUGUGAGGACAUGAGAUUUUGGAGGAGCCAGGGGCAGUCCCCACCCAAAUCUCAUCUUGAAUUAUAGUUCCCAUAAUCCCCACGUCAUGGGAAUUACCUCCGAUGGGAGGUAACUGAAUCAUGGGAGCAGUUACCCUCAUGCUGUUCUCAUGAUAGUGAGUUCUCACAAGAUCUGGCUUUUUUUUUUUUUUUUUUUUUUUUGAGACAGAGUCUUGCUCGAUCACCCAGGCUGGAGUGCAGUGGCACAAUCUAAGCUCACUGCAACCUACAUCUCUCGGGUUCAAGUGAUUCUCCUGCCUCAGCCUCUUGACUAGCCAGGAUUACGGGUGCUUGCCACCAUGCUUGGCUAAUUUUUUUUUUUUUUUUUUUUUUUUUUUUUUUUUUUGUAUUUUACAGACGGGGUUUCACUAUGUUGGCUAGGCUGGUCUUGAACUCCUGACUUCAGGUGAUCUGCCUGCCUUGGCCUCCCAAAGUGCUGGGAUUACAGGCAUAAGCCACUGCGCCCGGCUGAUCUGAUGGUUUCAUAAGGCUUUUCCCCCUUUUGCUCAGCACUUCUCCUUCCUGCCGCCAUGUGAAGAAGGACAUGUUUGCUUCCCCUUCCACCACGAUUGUAAGUUGUUUCCUGAGGCCUCCCCGGCCAUGCUGAACUGUGAGUCAAUUAAACCUCUUUCCUUUAUAAAUUAUCCAGUUUUGGGUAUGUCUUUAUUAGUAGAAUGAGAACAGACUAAUACAACCCUUAAAGGAGACUGACGGAGAGGAUUCUUCCUGGAUCCCAGCACUUCCUCUGAAUGCUACUGACAUUCUUCUUGAGGACUUUAAACUGGGAGAUAGAAAACAGAUUCCAUGGCUCAGCAGCCUGAGAGCAGGGAGGGAGCCAAGCUAUAGAUGACAUGGGCAGCCUCCCCUGAGGCCAGGUGUGGCCGAACCUGGGCAGUGCUGCCACCCACCCCACCAGGGCCAAGUCCUGUCCUUGGAGAGCCAAGCCUCAAUCACUGCUAGCCUCAAGUGUCCCCAAGCCACAGUGGCUAGGGGGACUCAGGGAACAGUUCCCAGUCUGCCCUACUUCUCUUACCUUUACCCCUCAUACCUCCAAAGUAGACCAUGUUCAUGAGGUCCAAAGCCAGGCUCCCAGAGAGCCCUCAUUCUCGUUUGUCAGUGUGGUCCCACAGACUCUAUUGAGCAGAAAUUCCUUUAAGUAUCUUGCAUGUGAACUUUUGUAGGCUCUCACAGCUGUGCAGGUUUCACCUGUGUUUGUGUUCUGUUGGUUCAGUCAUGAGCAGAAUUGGGGAAGGAAUCAGGCACACCUACCUCAGUACUAAUUUUUUUUGGCUGUUUUUUCCCAAAAUGUCAUAGAUCAGUUACAGAUAACAGAAGAGUAACUGUACAGGAAAACUGUCACUUUGGGCUGUCUGUGCUGCUUAAAUGGGAAGGCGGCUGCAUCUUUGAUCCCAAUUUUUAAAUUUCUUCUUACUGUAACUAUGAGGUAAAGGAGCCGGCACAUCAAACAUUUUCACCUGCAACAAAUAGGAAUCAUUUUCUUAUGCACCGAAUUGAGAACUUUGGAAUGAGUGGCUCUGUUUUUUCCUUUUCUUCCCCCUUGUCUGUCCUCCAUAUCCCAUUCAUUCUUUUUUAUUUAUUUUAUUUUUUUUAGACCGAG
Molecule: long non-coding RNA, 2364 nt
Filed under: Homo sapiens (human)
Lineage: Eukaryota; Metazoa; Chordata; Mammalia; Primates; Hominidae
Description: HSALNT0199628
Source: RNAcentral